This 193-nucleotide ribosomal RNA is filed under the name uncultured bacterium. RNAcentral describes it as "partial 16S ribosomal RNA". It matches the Rfam family "Bacterial small subunit ribosomal RNA", at positions 338 to 524 of the family's 1533-position model. The record is from RNAcentral.
CCUACGGGAGGCAGCAGUUUCGAAUCAUUCACAAUGGCCGGAAGCCUGAUGGUGCGACGCCGCGUGAGGGAUGAAGGCCUUCGGGUUGUAAACCUCUGUCACUGGGGAAGAAACGCUUCAAGCUAACAGCUUGAAGCCUGACUUAACCCAGAGAGGAAGCAGUGGCUAACUCUGUGCCAGCAGCCGCGGUAAU